GCUGUGAUGGCCGAGAGGUUAAGCGCUUGGACUCGAAAUCCAAUGGGGUUUCCCCGCGCAGGUUCAAACCCUGCUCACAGCG
Molecule: transfer RNA, 82 nt
Filed under: Perca fluviatilis (European perch)
Lineage: Eukaryota; Metazoa; Chordata; Actinopteri; Perciformes; Percidae
Rfam family: tRNA
About the family: Transfer RNA (tRNA) molecules are approximately 80 nucleotides in length. Their secondary structure includes four short double-helical elements and three loops (D, anti-codon, and T loops).
Source: Rfam by way of RNAcentral